AGCUCGGUGGCGGAAUUGGUCAGACGCACCUUUGAUUCCGAAAGGCGCCGUGGAAGUGGUAUUGCCGGUUCGAAUCCGGCCCGGGCUG
Molecule: transfer RNA, 88 nt
Filed under: bacterium
Lineage: Bacteria
Description: tRNA-OTHER
Rfam family: tRNA
About the family: Transfer RNA (tRNA) molecules are approximately 80 nucleotides in length. Their secondary structure includes four short double-helical elements and three loops (D, anti-codon, and T loops).
Source: RNAcentral